RNAcentral lists this ribosomal RNA (455 nucleotides) under Kingella oralis. RNAcentral describes it as "bacterial SSU rRNA". It matches the Rfam family "Bacterial small subunit ribosomal RNA", at positions 30 to 485 of the family's 1533-position model. Lineage: Bacteria; Pseudomonadati; Pseudomonadota; Betaproteobacteria; Neisseriales; Neisseriaceae. The record is from RNAcentral.
AUUGAACGCUGGCGGCAUGCUUUACACAUGCAAGUCGAACGGCAGCACGAAAGAGCUUGCUCUUUUGGUGGCGAGUGGCGAACGGGUGAGUAAUGCAUCGGAACGUACCGAGUAAUGGGGGAUAACUAUCCGAAAGGAUAGCUAAUACCCCAUACGCUUUGAGAAGGAAAGUGGGGGCUCUUCGGACCUCACGUUAUUCGAGCGGCCGAUGUCUGAUUAGCUAGUUGGUGGGGUAAAGGCCUACCAAGGCGACGAUCAGUAGCGGGUCUGAGAGGAUGAUCCGCCACACUGGGACUGAGACACGGCCCAGACUCCUACGGGAGGCAGCAGUGGGGAAUUUUGGACAAUGGGCGCAAGCCUGAUCCAGCCAUGCCGCGUGUCUGAAGAAAGGGCUCGGGUUGUAAAGGACUUUUGUUAGGGAAGAAAAGGAUAGUGUUAAUACCAUUAUCUGCUGA